This 97-nucleotide small nuclear RNA is filed under the name Jaculus jaculus (lesser Egyptian jerboa). The record is from RNAcentral. Lineage: Eukaryota; Metazoa; Chordata; Mammalia; Rodentia; Dipodidae.
GUGCUCACUGCAGCAGCGCAUAAUUGGAACGAUUCAGAGAUUAGCAUGGCUCCUGCACAAGGAUGACACACAAAUUUGUGAAGUAGUCCAUAUUUAA